Molecule: ribosomal RNA, 217 nt
Filed under: Glomeromycotina sp.
Lineage: Eukaryota; Fungi; Glomeromycota
Description: partial small subunit ribosomal RNA
Rfam family: Eukaryotic small subunit ribosomal RNA (bases 41-217)
Source: RNAcentral
GGGGUCAGUAGGUUGGUCGUGCCACCGGUACGUACUGGUCUCACUGAUUCCUCCUUCCUGAAGAACCGUAAUGCCAUUAAUUUGGUGUUGCGGGGAAACAGGACUGUUACUUUGAAAAAAUUAGAGUGUUUAAAGCAAGCUAACGCUUGAAUACAUUAGCAUGGAAUAAUGAAAUAAGACGAUCGAUCCUAUUUUGUUGGUUUCUAGGAUUGACGUA